Molecule: ribosomal RNA, 446 nt
Filed under: uncultured bacterium
Lineage: Bacteria
Description: partial 16S ribosomal RNA
Rfam family: Bacterial small subunit ribosomal RNA
Source: RNAcentral
CCUACGGGAGGCUGCAGUCGAGAAUCAUUCACAAUGGGGGAAACCCUGAUGGUGCGACGCCGCGUGGGGGAAUGAAGGUCUUCGGAUUGUAAACCCCUGUCAUGUGGGAGCAAAUUAAAAAGAUAGUACCACAAGAGGAAGAGACGGCUAACUCUGUGCCAGCAGCCGCGGUAAUACAGAGGUCUCAAGCGUUGUUCGGAAUCACUGGGCGUAAAGCGUGCGUAGGCUGUUUCGUAAGUCGUGUGUGAAAGGCGCGGGCUCGACCCGCGGACGGCACAUGAUACUGCGAGACGAGAGGAAUGGAGGGGGAACCGGAAUUCUCGGGGUAGCAGUGAAAUGCGUAGAUAUCGAGAGGAACACUCGUGGCGAAGGCGGGUUCCUGGACAUUAACUGACGCUGAGGCACGAAGGCCAGGGGAGCGAAAGGGAUUAGAGACCCCUGUAGUC